CCGUUCUCCCUCUCUCUCCUCCCUCUCCCUCCAAGUCUGGCACCACUGAACGCAAACUGUUUUGCUUUGCUCCGGGAAGAGUGAAGACACAUAACGUGAAAUCCCGAGCUUUUUGCGUGGUGCAUUUAAAAUGCCUCCUUAUUUAUAUUACCCUCAUUCCCUCACCUCUCCCACCCCCUCACCAGUCCUUCCAAAUUUCCCUAGAAAUCUAUGUAAAGCAUGCGGAGGGGAAAACAUUUGCACAAAAAGUGAAGGAGCUCACCAAGGAGUUCCCAGUUUAGGUGAUCAAACCUGCCCUGCCACCAGGAGGUUGCAUGAGGGGUGACUGCAAGGAGGGGGUCUCACAGGCCCCAGGAGCUGAAGAGUCUGGACAAAGGAGCUCUGGAG
This is a non-coding RNA of Manis javanica (Malayan pangolin), 387 nucleotides long. The record is from RefSeq and is a predicted model, not a curated record. NCBI's taxonomy places the organism in Eukaryota, Metazoa, Chordata, Mammalia, Pholidota, Manidae.